GAUGAACGCUGGCGGCGUGCCUAAUACAUGCAAGUCGAGCGAACGGACGAGAAGCUUGCUUCUCUGAUGUUAGCGGCGGACGGGUGAGUAACACGUGGAUAACCUACCUAUAAGACUGUGAUAACUUCGGGAAACCGGAGCUAAUACCGGAUGAUAUUUUGAACCGCAUGGUUCAAAAGUGAAAGACGUUCUUGCUGUCACUUAUAGAUGUAUCCGCGCUGCAUUAUCUAGUUGGUAAGGUAACGGCUUACCAAGGCAACGAUGCAUAGCCGACCUGAGAGGGGGAUCGGCCACACGGGAAAUGAGAACGGGCCCAGACUCCUACGGGAGGAAGAGGUGGGGAAUCUUCAGAAAGGGGCGAAAGCCUGACGGAGAAACGCCGCGUGAGGGAAGAAGGUUUUCGGUUGUUAAAGCUCUGUUGUUAGGGAAGAACAUAGGUGUAGUAAAAAGUGCAGAAAGAGACGGUACCUAACCAGAAAGCCACGGCUAACUACGUG
Molecule: ribosomal RNA, 497 nt
Filed under: uncultured bacterium
Lineage: Bacteria
Description: partial 16S ribosomal RNA
Rfam family: Bacterial small subunit ribosomal RNA
Source: RNAcentral